UAAGGGCGCACGGUGGAUGCCUUGGCACUAGAAGCCGAUGAAGGACGUUACUAACGACGAUAUGCUUUGGGGAGCUGUAAGUAAGCUUUGAUCCAGAGAUUUCCGAAUGGGGAAACCCAGCAUGAGUUAUGUCAUGUUAUCGAUAUGUGAAUACAUAGCAUAUCAGAAGGCACACCCGGAGAACUGAAACAUCUUAGUACCCGGAGGAAGAGAAAGAAAAUUCGAUUCCCUUAGUAGCGGCGAGCGAAACGGGAAGAGCCCAAACCAACAAGCUUGCUUGUUGGGGUUGUAGGACACUCUAUACGGAGUUACAAA
RNAcentral lists this ribosomal RNA (315 nucleotides) under Staphylococcus aureus. RNAcentral describes it as "partial 23S ribosomal RNA". It matches the Rfam family "Bacterial large subunit ribosomal RNA", at positions 12 to 326 of the family's 2925-position model. Lineage: Bacteria; Bacillati; Bacillota; Bacilli; Caryophanales; Staphylococcaceae. The record is from RNAcentral.